UACAGAGGUCUCAAGCGUUGUUCGGAUUCAUUGGGCGUAAAGGGUGCGUAGGCGGCGCGGUAAGUCGGAUGUGAAAUCUCGGAGCUUAACUUCGAAACUGCAUUCGAUACUGCCGUGCUUGAGGACUGGAGAGGAGACUGGAAUUUACGGUGUAGCGGUGAAAUGCGUAGAUAUCGUAAGGAAGACCAGUGGCGAAGGCGGGGCUCUGGACAGUUCCUGACGCUGAGGCACGAAGGUCAGGGGAGCAAACGGG
This 253-nucleotide ribosomal RNA is filed under the name uncultured bacterium. RNAcentral describes it as "partial 16S ribosomal RNA". It matches the Rfam family "Bacterial small subunit ribosomal RNA", at positions 524 to 776 of the family's 1533-position model. The record is from RNAcentral.